CCUACGGGAGGCAGCAGUGAGGAAUAUUGGUCAAUGGGCGCUAGCCUGAACCAGCCAAGCAGCGUGAAGGAUGACUGCCCUCUGGGUUGUAAAUUUCUUUUAUAGGGGAAUAAAGUGCAGUAUGUAUACUGCUUUGCAUGUACCUUAUGAUUAAGGAUCGGCUAACUCCGUUCCAGCAGACGCGCUAAUACGGAGAGUCCGAGCGUUAUCCGGAUUUAGUGGGUUUAAAGGGAACGUAGGCGGGUUGUUAAGUCAGUUGUGAAAGUUGGCGGCUCAACCGUAGAAUUGCAGUUGAUACUGGCAUGCUGGAGUACAGUAGAGGGAGGCAGAAUUCGUGGUGUAGCGGUGAAAUGCUUAGAUAUCGCGAGGAACUCCGAUUGCGAAGGCAGCCUGCUGGACUGUGACUGACGCUGAUGCUCGAAAGUGUGGGUAUCAAACAGGAUUAGAUACCCUGGUAGUC
RNAcentral lists this ribosomal RNA (460 nucleotides) under uncultured bacterium. Its description in RNAcentral is "partial 16S ribosomal RNA". It matches the Rfam family "Bacterial small subunit ribosomal RNA", at positions 338 to 795 of the family's 1533-position model. The record is from RNAcentral.